This 124-nucleotide non-coding RNA is filed under the name Streptomyces sp. MP131-18. Its description in RNAcentral is "Streptomyces sRNA scr5239". It matches the Rfam family "Streptomyces sRNA scr5239". From Rfam's summary of the family: It inhibits agarase DagA expression by direct base pairing to the dagA coding region, and it represses translation of methionine synthase metE (SCO0985) at the 5' end of its open reading frame. Lineage: Bacteria; Bacillati; Actinomycetota; Actinomycetes; Kitasatosporales; Streptomycetaceae. The record is from Rfam by way of RNAcentral.
CUUCUGCUCUCCCCGCACAGGAGGGCAGAGCGAGGCCGCACGACGCUAUCUGCCCUGACGGCGUCGAAGGCCCGCAUCGCUCCGGGCUGCGGUGCCGAGAGGGUUGAGGGUCCCUCCCCGGCGC